AUCUUCUACAAUGGACGGCAGUCUGAUGGAGCAACGCCGCGUGAGCGAAGAAGGUUUUCGGAUCGUCAAGCUCUGUUGCAAGGGAAGAACAAGUAGUGUACUAACUGGCGUUCUAUUGACGGUACCUUGUUAGAAAACCGCGGAACACUACGUGCCAGCAGCCGCGGUAAUACGUAGGUGGCAAGCGUUGUCCUGAAUUAUUGGUCGUAAAGUGCGCGCAGGUGGGUUCAUAAGUCUAAUGUGAAAGCCCACCGCUCAACCGUAGAGGGUGAUUGGAAACGGGGAGACUUGAGUGCAGAGUAGGAUAGUGGAAUUCCAAGUGUAGCGGUGAAAUGCGUAGAGAUUUGGAGGCACACCAGUGGCAAAGGCGACGGUCUGGUCUGUAACAGACACUGCGGCGCGAGAGCGUGGGGAGCAAACA
Molecule: ribosomal RNA, 421 nt
Filed under: uncultured bacterium
Lineage: Bacteria
Description: partial 16S ribosomal RNA
Rfam family: Bacterial small subunit ribosomal RNA
Source: RNAcentral